Molecule: ribosomal RNA, 497 nt
Filed under: uncultured bacterium
Lineage: Bacteria
Description: partial 16S ribosomal RNA
Rfam family: Bacterial small subunit ribosomal RNA
Source: RNAcentral
GACGAACGCUGGCGGCGUGCCUAAUACAUGCAAGUUGAGCGAUGAAGCUUGGUGCUUGCACCAAUUUGAAGAGCGGCGAACGGGUGAGUAACGCGUGGGGAAUCUGCCUUUGAGCGGGGGACAACAUUUGGAAACGAAUGCUAAUACCGCAUAAUAACUUUAAACAUAAGUUUUAAGUUUGAAAGAUGCAAUUGCAUCACUCAAAGAUGAUCCCGCGUUGUAUUAGCUAGUUGGUGAGGUAAAGGCUCACCAAGGCGAUGAUACAUAGCCGACCUGAGAGGGUGAUCGGCCACAUUGGGACUGAGACACGGCCCAAACUCCUACGGGAGGCAGCAGUAGGGAAUCUUCGGCAAUGGACGAAAGUCUGACCGAGCAAUGCCGCGUGAGUGAAGAAGGUUUUCGGAUCGUAAAACUCUGUUGGUAGAGAAGAACGUUGGUGAGAGUGGAAAGCUCAUCAAGUGACGGUAACUACCCAGAAAGGGACGGCUAACUACGUG